This 306-nucleotide long non-coding RNA is filed under the name Arachis ipaensis. Its description in RNAcentral is "long non-coding RNA (AIPA_LNC002326)". The record is from RNAcentral. Lineage: Eukaryota; Viridiplantae; Streptophyta; Magnoliopsida; Fabales; Fabaceae.
GUGGCUGUGGGAAACAUGUGAGGAUUUGUUAUUUAGUGCAUUCAUGACACAUGGCUCCUCUUCCCCUUGGAUUCAUUAUUCAUUAUUAUUCAAACUAAUGGUCCAUUUUGCUUUGCUGUUUCAACUUCUCAGAAUUAGGUUGGGCGUUGAUCUACUGUGAGUCCCUGGCGUAAGCUUUUUUAAUACAAUACUAUACUAUAUGUUUUAGUCGUCUAAUUUACUAUUCCCAAAUCACACAUUUCGGUCAUCAUUAACAAAUGCAGAAAUAUUUGUGCAGCUCUUUUUUUGUUUGUGUUUUAUUUCUAA